RNAcentral lists this unclassified non-coding RNA (1049 nucleotides) under Hevea brasiliensis (rubber tree). Lineage: Eukaryota; Viridiplantae; Streptophyta; Magnoliopsida; Malpighiales; Euphorbiaceae. The record is from RNAcentral.
GGCGUUUGGUCAGUAAUCCAUAAUGUUCACUAUUAGUUGUCAAUAUGAUGUUCUUCCCCUUGAGAUAAUAGUGACAAAAAAACACAAAAGAGCAAAAGGUGUGCUAUAUCUUCGCAUGAAGAUUCACUAAAUUACUGUUAGCUUUAACUUGAAAAGCAAAAGAGAAACAGGGAAUAAAAAAAAUGAAACUGUCUCCAUGUAGGUGUAAUCUUUUGCACAUCAAAAACCAAAGCAAAUAAUUCAUGUUUCCAUGUCUCCACUAGUAGAAAUCGCACAAACAAAAGCAGCUCUUGAGAAAAUUGCAAACUAUCUACCCAUCUUCAUCAUAAUCUUCACAUUUGCACUCAUCUUCAUUUUUAGUUUUAUCCACACCUUGAGCUUCAUCAUCAUCAUCUUCUUCUUCUUCUUCUUCUUCUUCUUCUUCACCAUCACGAUCAAGAUCAUUAUGACCAUUAAGAUCACGAUUAUGUUCUCCGCUUUUUGCCGCAUAUUCUUCAAGUGAUGCAGAGGGAAACAAAUCGCCAACCUUGUUUGCUUCAUUGGUUACAGUUUUUGCUGUACUCUUUGUUGUACCUUUGUUCAUAGCACGUAGAAGAGUCCUCCGAUCUCUUUCUCUAGCAUUCUUAAUAGCCUCUUCGAGUAUCUUUUGCUCGGCCUCUACUUCAGCAGAAUCUCUUCCAAUUAUCUGGUUCACGCAGCAACAACACUUUGCACAAACAUUUUGCUCCUUUGCACAAGCAGAACAUAAAUUAUGGUAAGCCUGACGGACUGCACGUUUAGAGCAUCGUUGACAUUUGGCAGGCUCAGAGAGGGGCUUGUAUUUGCCGUAACGGCGUUUCCAAUCGAUCUGUUCUUUACAGCGAGGGCACACCCCGGUGAUCUCCGAGUAUGGUCUGAGCUUCCCUCCAACUUCCGUUUCGUUGAUUUUGUGGCCGGCUUUGGGUUUCCAUGCGUACCGGUUUUGGUGCUUCGGCGGACCCUGCCUCUUGCUCAUCUUGCCGCGCCGCUGCCUCCAGUCCACAGCUCAGGUUCUUCAGCCCCUAACAAAC